CAAAAACAUCUUCUGAAUCUAAUAUAUCAGGUAGUGCCUGCUCACUGGUUUUAAGAGCCGCAGUAUCCUAACUGUGCUAAGGUAGCAUAAUCAUUAGUUAUUUAAUUUGUAACUAGAAUGAACGGCCUGACAAAAGAAUAAUUUUAUUAUUUUUUUAUUAAAUUAAUAUAAGAAUAAAAAAGUUCUUAUAAAUUAGAAAGACGAUAAGACCCUAAAACCUUAUAUAUAAAUAUUUACUGGGGUGGUAAUUUAUUCACCAUAAAUUAAAAUAACAUAAUGAGUGAUACUGUCUAUCUAAUUAAUACAAAAAGGUACUUUAGGGAUAACAGCAUAAUUUUUAUUUAGAGUCCUUAUCGACAUAAAAGAUUAUGACCUCGAUGUUGAAUUGAUUUAACUAUUUUAGGCAGCCCUUAAAUUAGUAGGUCUGUUCGACCUUUAAAUGAUCAC
RNAcentral lists this ribosomal RNA (447 nucleotides) under Armadillidium sp. ISOP39. RNAcentral's name for it is "partial large subunit ribosomal RNA". It matches the Rfam family "Bacterial large subunit ribosomal RNA", at positions 1808 to 2599 of the family's 2925-position model. Lineage: Eukaryota; Metazoa; Arthropoda; Malacostraca; Isopoda; Armadillidiidae. The record is from RNAcentral.